AAAGCCUCUAAGCAUCAGGUAACAUCAAAUCGUACCCCAAACCGACACAGGUGGUCAGGUAGAGAAUACCAAGGCGCUUGAGAGAACUCGGGUGAAGGAACUAGGCAAAAUGGUGCCGUAACUUCGGGAGAAGGCACGCUGAUAUGUAGGUGAAGCGACUUGCUCGUGGAGCUGAAAUCAGUCGAAGAUACCAGCUGGCUGCAACUGUUUAUUAAAAACACAGCACUGUGCAAACACGAAAGUGGACGUAUACGGUGUGACGCCUGCCCGGUGCCGGAAGGUUAAUUGAUGGGGUUAGCGGCAACGCGAAGCUCUUGAUCGAAGCCCCGGUAAACGGCGGCCGUAACUAUAACGGUCCUAAGGUAGCGAAAUUCCUUGUCGGGUAAGUUCCGACCUGCACGAAUGGCGUAAUGAUGGCCAGGCUGUCUCCACCCGAGACUCAGUGAAAUUGAACUCGCUGUGAAGAUGCAGUGUACCCGCGGCAAGACGGAAAGACCCCGUGAACCUUUACUAUAGCUUGACACUGAACAUUGAGCCUUGAUGUGUAGGAUAGGUGGGAGGCUUUGAAGUGUGGACGCCAGUCUGCAUGGAGCCGACCUUGAAAUACCACCCUUUAAUGUUUGAUGUUCUAACGUUGGCCCGUAAUCCGGGUUGCGGACAGUGUCUGGUGGGUAGUUUGACUGGGGCGGUCUCCUCCUAAAGAGUAACGGAGGAGCACGAAGGUUGGCUAAUCCUGGUCGGACAUCAGGAGGUUAGUGCAAUGGCAUAAGCCAGCUUGACUGCGAGCGUGACGGCGCGAGCAGGUGCGAAAGCAGGUCAUAGUGAUCCGGUGGUUCUGAAUGGAAGGGCCAUCGCUCAACGGAUAAAAGGUACUCCGGGGAUAACAGGCUGAUACCGCCCAAGAGUUCAUAUCGACGGCGGUGUUUGGCACCUCGAUGUCGGCUCAUCACAUCCUGGGGCUGAAGUAGGUCCCAAGGGUAUGGCUGUUCGCCAUUUAAAGUGGUACGCGAGCUGGGUUUAGAACGUCGUGAGACAGUUCGGUCCCUAUCUGCCGUGGGCGCUGGAGAACUGAGGGGGGCUGCUCCUAGUACGAGAGGACCGGAGUGGACGCAUCACUGGUGUUCGGGUUGUCAUGCCAAUGGCACUGCCCGGUAGCUAAAUGCGGAAGAGAUAAGUGCUGAAAGCAUCUAAGCACGAAACUUGCCCCGAGAUGAGUUCUCCCUGACUCCUUGAGAGUCCUGAAGGAACGUUGAAGACGACGACGUUGAUAGGCCGGGUGUGUAAGCGCAGCGAUGCGUUGAGCUAACCGGUACUAAUGAACCGUGAGGCUUAACCUU
Molecule: ribosomal RNA, 1337 nt
Filed under: Escherichia coli
Lineage: Bacteria; Pseudomonadati; Pseudomonadota; Gammaproteobacteria; Enterobacterales; Enterobacteriaceae
Also listed under: 1 other name
Description: partial 23S ribosomal RNA
Rfam family: Bacterial large subunit ribosomal RNA
Source: RNAcentral